RNAcentral lists this microRNA (23 nucleotides) under Echinococcus granulosus. RNAcentral describes it as "egr-miR-10229a-3p". Lineage: Eukaryota; Metazoa; Platyhelminthes; Cestoda; Cyclophyllidea; Taeniidae. The record is from miRBase by way of RNAcentral.
AGUGUUGAUACCAGGCAUUCACC